RNAcentral lists this ribosomal RNA (1388 nucleotides) under Xanthomonas fragariae. RNAcentral describes it as "bacterial SSU rRNA". It matches the Rfam family "Bacterial small subunit ribosomal RNA". Lineage: Bacteria; Pseudomonadati; Pseudomonadota; Gammaproteobacteria; Lysobacterales; Lysobacteraceae. The record is from RNAcentral.
CUAGUAGUGGGGGAUAGCUCGGGGAAACUCGAAUUAAUACCGCAUACGACCUACGGGUGAAAGGGGGCGCAAGCUCUUGCUAUUAGAUGAGCCUAAAUCAGAUUAGCUAGUUGGUGGGGUAAAGGCCCACCAAGGCGACGAUCUGUAACUGGUCUGAGAGGAUGAUCAGUCACACCGGAACUGAGACACGGUCCGGACUCCUACGGGAGGCAGCAGUGGGGAAUAUUGGACAAUGGGGGCAACCCUGAUCCAGCCAUGCCGCGUGUGUGAAGAAGGCCUUUUGGUUGUAAAGCACUUUAAGCAGGGAGGAGAGGCUAAUGGUUAAUACCCAUUAGAUUAGACGUUACCUGCAGAAUAAGCACCGGCUAACUCUGUGCCAGCAGCCGCGGUAAUACAGAGGGUGCGAGCGUUAAUCGGAAUUACUGGGCGUAAAGCGAGUGUAGGUGGCUCAUUAAGUCACAUGUGAAAUCCCCGGGCUUAACCUGGGAACUGCAUGUGAUACUGGUGGUGCUAGAAUAUGUGAGAGGGAAGUAGAAUUCCAGGUGUAGCGGUGAAAUGCGUAGAGAUCUGGAGGAAUACCGAUGGCGAAGGCAGCUUCCUGGCAUAAUAUUGACACUGAGAUUCGAAAGCGUGGGUAGCAAACAGGAUUAGAUACCCUGGUAGUCCACGCCGUAAACGAUGUCUACUAGCCGUUGGGGUCCUUGAGACUUUAGUGGCGCAGUUAACGCGAUAAGUAGACCGCCUGGGGAGUACGGCCGCAAGGUUAAAACUCAAAUGAAUUGACGGGGGCCCGCACAAGCGGUGGAGCAUGUGGUUUAAUUCGAUGCAACGCGAAGAACCUUACCUGGUCUUGACAUAGUGAGAAUCUCUCAGAGAUGAGAGAGUGCCUUCGGGAACUCACAUACAGGUGCUGCAUGGCUGUCGUCAGCUCGUGUCGUGAGAUGUUGGGUUAAGUCCCGCAACGAGCGCAACCCUUUUCCUUAUUUGCCAGCGGGUUAAGCCGGGAACUUUAAGGAUACUGCCAGUGACAAACUGGAGGAAGGCGGGGACGACGUCAAGUCAUCAUGGCCCUUACGACCAGGGCUACACACGUGCUACAAUGGUAGGUACAGAGGGUUGCUACACAGCGAUGUGAUGCUAAUCUCAAAAAGCCUAUCGUAGUCCGGAUUGGAGUCUGCAACUCGACUCCAUGAAGUCGGAAUCGCUAGUAAUCGCGGAUCAGAAUGCCGCGGUGAAUACGUUCCCGGGCCUUGUACACACCGCCCGUCACACCAUGGGAGUCUAUUGCACCAGAAGUAGGUAGCCUAACGAAAGAGGGCGCUUACCACGGUGUGGUCGAUGACUGGGGUGAAGUCGUAACAAGGUAGCCGUAGGGGAACCUGCGGCUG